AGACCCGAAACCCGGUGAUCUAGCCAUGGGCAGGUUGAAGGUUGGGUAACACUAACUGGAGGACCGAACCGACUAAUGUUGAAAAAUUAGCGGAUGACCUGUGGCUGGGGGUGAAAGGCCAAUCAAACCGGGAGAUAGCUGGUUCUCCCCGAAAGCUAUUUAGGUAGCGCCUCGUGAAUUCAUCUCCGGGGGUAGAGCACUGUUUCGGCUAGGGGGCCAUCCCGGCUUACCAACCCGAUGCAAACUGCGAAUACCGGAGAAUGUUAUCACGGGAGACACACGGCGGGUGCUAACGUCCGUCGUGAAGAGGGAAACAACCCAGACCGCCAGCUAAGGUCCCAAAGUCAUGGUUAAGUGGGAAACGAUGUGGGAAGGCCCAGACAGCCAGGAUGUUGGCUUAGAAGCAGCCAUCAUUUAAAGAAAGCGUAAUAGCUCACUGGUCGAGUCGGCCUGCGCGGAAGAUGUAACGGGGCUAAACCAUGCACCGAAGCUGCGGCAGCGACGCUGAUGCGUUGUUGGGUAGGGGAGCGUUCUGUAAGCCUGCGAAGGUGGCCUGUGAGGGUUGCUGGAGGUA
Molecule: ribosomal RNA, 574 nt
Filed under: Salmonella enterica
Lineage: Bacteria; Pseudomonadati; Pseudomonadota; Gammaproteobacteria; Enterobacterales; Enterobacteriaceae
Description: partial 23S ribosomal RNA
Rfam family: Bacterial large subunit ribosomal RNA
Source: RNAcentral